GAUGAACGCUGGCGGCGUGCCUAAUACAUGCAAGUCGAGCGAACAGACGAGGAGCUUGCUCCUCUGACGUUAGCGGCGGACGGGUGAGUAACACGUGGAUAACCUACUUAUAAGACUGGGAUAACUUCGGGGAACCGGAGCUAAUACCGGAUAAUAUAUUGAACCGCAUGGUUCAAUAGUGAAAGACGGUUUUGCUGUCACUUAUAGAUGGAUCCGCGCCGCAUUAGCUAGUUGGUAAGGUAACGGCUUACCAAGGCAACGAUGCGUAGCCGACCUGAGAGGGUGAUCGGCCACACUGGAACUGAGACACGGUCCAGACUCCUACGGGAGGCAGCAGUAGGGAAUAUUCGGCAAUGGGCGAAAGCCUGACGGAGCAACGCCGCGUGAGUGAUGAAGGUCUUCGGAUCGUAAAACUCUGUUAUUAGGGAAGAAAAAAUGUAUAUGUAAAUAUGCACGUCUUGACGGUACCUAAUCAAAAAGCCACGGCUAACUACGUG
RNAcentral lists this ribosomal RNA (497 nucleotides) under uncultured bacterium. RNAcentral describes it as "partial 16S ribosomal RNA". It matches the Rfam family "Bacterial small subunit ribosomal RNA", at positions 28 to 507 of the family's 1533-position model. The record is from RNAcentral.